RNAcentral lists this ribosomal RNA (273 nucleotides) under uncultured bacterium. RNAcentral's name for it is "partial small subunit ribosomal RNA". It matches the Rfam family "Bacterial small subunit ribosomal RNA", at positions 26 to 285 of the family's 1533-position model. The record is from RNAcentral.
AGAAUCAACGCUGGCGGCGUGCCUAACACAUGCAAGUCGAACGCGAAAGUCCCGCAAGGGAUGAGUAGAGUGGCAAACGGGUGAGUAACACGUGGGUGACCUGCCUUCGAGUGGGGGGAUAACGUCCCGAAAGGGACGCUAAUACCGCAUAACAUCCUGCUUUUUAAGAGGUGGAGAGCAAAGCCGGGGAUCGCAAGACCUGGCGCUUGAAGAGGGGCCCGCGUCCGAUUAGCUAGUUGGUGGGGUAAUGGCUCACCAAGGCGACGAUCGGUA